AGAGUUUGAUCAUGGCUCAGAUUGAACGCUGGCGGCAGGCUUAACACAUGCAAGUCGAGCGGAAACGAUGGUAGCUUGCUACCAGGCGUCGAGCGGCGGACGGGUGAGUAAUACUUAGGAAUCUACCUAGUAGUGGGGGAUAGCUCGGGGAAACUCGAAUUAAUACCGCAUACGACCUACGGGAGAAAGGGGGCAGUUUACUGCUCUCGCUAUUAGAUGAGCCUAAGUCGGAUUAGCUAGAUGGUGGGGUAAAGGCCUACCAUGGCGACGAUCUGUAGCUGGUCUGAGAGGAUGAUCAGCCACACCGGGACUGAGACACGGCCCGGACUCCUACGGGAGGCAGCAGUGGGGAAUAUUGGACAAUGGGGGAAACCCUGAUCCAGCCAUGCCGCGUGUGUGAAGAAGGCCUUUUGGUUGUAAAGCACUUUAAGCAGUGAAGAAGACUCCGUGGUUAAUACCCACGGACGAUGACAUUAGCUGCAGAAUAAGCACCGGCUAACUCUGUGCCAGCAGCCGCGGUAAUACAGAGGGUGCAAGCGUUAAUCGGAAUUACUGGGCGUAAAGGGAGCGUAGGUGGCUCGAUAAGUCAGAUGUGAAAUCCCCGGGCUCAACCUGGGAACUGCAUCUGAUACUGUUGAGCUAGAGUAUGUGAGAGGAAGGUAGAAUUCCAGGUGUAGCGGUGAAAUGCGUAGAGAUCUGGAGGAAUACCGAUGGCGAAGGCAGCCUUCUGGCAUAAUACUGACACUGAGGCUCGAAAGCGUGGGUAGCAAACAGGAUUAGAUACCCUGGUAGUCCACGCCGUAAACGAUGUCUACUAGUCGUUGGGUCCCUUGAGGACUUAGUGACGCAGCUAACGCAAUAAGUAGACCGCCUGGGGAGUACGGCCGCAAGGUUAAAACUCAAAUGAAUUGACGGGGGCCCGCACAAGCGGUGGAGCAUGUGGUUUAAUUCGAUGCAACGCGAAGAACCUUACCUGGUCUUGACAUAUCUAGAAUCCUGCAGAGAUGCGGGAGUGCCUUCGGGAAUUAGAAUACAGGUGCUGCAUGGCUGUCGUCAGCUCGUGUCGUGAGAUGUUGGGUUAAGUCCCGCAACGAGCGCAACCCUUGUCCUUAGUUACCAGCGGGUUAAGCCGGGAACUCUAAGGAUACUGCCAGUGACAAACUGGAGGAAGGCGGGGACGACGUCAAGUCAUCAUGGCCCUUACGACCAGGGCUACACACGUGCUACAAUGGUAGGUACAGAGGGCAGCUACACAGCGAUGUGAUGCGAAUCUCAAAAAGCCUAUCGUAGUCCAGAUUGGAGUCUGCAACUCGACUCCAUGAAGUAGGAAUCGCUAGUAAUCGCGGAUCAGAAUGCCGCGGUGAAUACGUUCCCGGGCCUUGUACACACCGCCCGUCACACCAUGGGAGUUGAUUGCACCAGAAGUGG
RNAcentral lists this ribosomal RNA (1428 nucleotides) under Psychrobacter sp. TB47. RNAcentral describes it as "bacterial SSU rRNA". It matches the Rfam family "Bacterial small subunit ribosomal RNA". The record is from RNAcentral. Lineage: Bacteria; Pseudomonadati; Pseudomonadota; Gammaproteobacteria; Moraxellales; Moraxellaceae.